UACGUAGGUGGCAAGCGUUGUCCGGAAUUAUUGGGCGUAAAGCGCGCGCAGGCGGUCCUUUAAGGCUGAUGUGAAAGCCCACGGCUCAACCGUGGAGGGUCAUUGGAAACUGGGGGACUUGAGUGCAGAAGAGGAAAGCGGAAUUCCACGUGUAGCGGUGAAAUGCGUAGAGAUGUGGAGGAACACCAGUGGCGAAGGCGGCUUUCUGGUCUGUAACUGACGCUGAGGCGCGAAAGCGUGGGGAGCAAACAGG
This 253-nucleotide ribosomal RNA is filed under the name uncultured bacterium. RNAcentral's name for it is "partial 16S ribosomal RNA". It matches the Rfam family "Bacterial small subunit ribosomal RNA", at positions 524 to 776 of the family's 1533-position model. The record is from RNAcentral.